This is a long non-coding RNA of Acipenser ruthenus (sterlet), 856 nucleotides long. RefSeq lists it as uncharacterized. Lineage: Eukaryota; Metazoa; Chordata; Actinopteri; Acipenseriformes; Acipenseridae. The record is from RefSeq and is a predicted model, not a curated record. The transcript has 3 exons.
CCUAGGCUCUAUGCUAUAUCCCAGCAGUGAAAGUCGCUUUGAGUCAUGGUAUGUUGAACUUCUGCGUUCCUACGAGCUGUCACCUACACAAGGGAGCCUGUCUGUCCACCUGCUAUCUGAGCUCAAAGACACUGUCACGUUUGCUGCUUACACCGUUGAUGGCCGGCUGCUGUUGACCCCCAAGAGAUACAUUUUACUGAGAGAGUGCUGAGUUAAACUUGAGAAAUAUGGCAGCCGUAUCCUCUCAAGCCUUGAAACUUCGUGUCAUUGUUGAAGCUGACAAUAUAAGCAAGAUUACACUUGACACCCGCCCUGAGUCUGUUGAUAACCUGAAAAGCAUUUUGAAGGACAAGCUCAAGUUGGAUGCAGAAUUCAGCUUGCAGUACGAAGACCCUGACUUUGAUGGAGAACUUCUCCCUAGUGGACAUUGACGAGUUGCCACAGAAAGCUACACUGAAUCUUUUCAUGGCAGAGGUGGAAACCAGUUCUAUUUCAACUACAGACACAGAGUUGCUGUCAGAUGUGUCCUCUCCAGAGCAACUUAGUAGAUGGCCGCCAGGUAUUUUUCCCGUGCCCACUUUUGCUUAUGGGGUAGAAUUGAAGCUCAGAGAAGGAAACACUGCCUUUGAAAGAAACUGAAAGUGUCUUCAGUUAUCUAGAGAUCAAAAGCAUGACAUCCUAGAGAAACUUGCAGCUACUCUUUACAGUUUCAACGCUUACCCGAGUGACAGAGAGUUAUCAAAAGCAGCUGAAGCACUUGUUUCCAAACACCCCUGCCUGAAAGAGCUUGGUUCUGAUACUGGCUGGUAUGGAUGGAAGAACAGCAUAAAAUACAAAUUGGGUAACUACAGAACCA